Prionailurus viverrinus (fishing cat) is the source of this 479-nucleotide long non-coding RNA. RefSeq lists it as uncharacterized. The transcript is spliced from 5 exons. The record is from RefSeq and is a predicted model, not a curated record. Lineage: Eukaryota; Metazoa; Chordata; Mammalia; Carnivora; Felidae.
CGAUUCUCCACCUACUCCCCUCGCUGCCAUUAGGUAAUUUUGAAGCAAAUCACAGACAUCAUUCAUGCCAAGAGGGGACAAAAGCUGAAUUAUAAGCCCACACAAUUUAUGGUUCUUCAGGUUUGCCACUUGGAUGUCUACAACCGUGUCAACUCACUACUAAGUCAGCUGCAAAUUACUCGGUUCCCAACCUAAUAUUUGGUGUACAAAUGAGGGCACCGUGCUCUGUAAAGUUGUUCUUGCACAGUUGCGUCUGCCUCAGCAGGGAAAACGUAUGAGAAGACUGGGAUAGAGAGCCAGGAUAUGACCUGAAGUAGUCGAAAUCCAAUGUGCGAGUUUUCAGUCUGUUCACUCUGGGAAUGAAAUGGAAACUUUCGUGCACGACUCGACCGGGAAGCCAGGAAUUCCCACUUGCUCGUUUGUUCUUACCUUCCUAGACAAUCCUACCAAAUCAUUGCAACUUGGUGCAGAGAAAGAAC